AACCUCCGCAAUGUACGAAAGUGCGACGGGGGGAUCCCAAGUGUUAUGCUUUUUUGUAUAACUUUUCAUUAGUGUAAAAAGCUUUUAGAAUAAGAGCUGGGCAAGGCCGGUGCCAGCCGCCGCGGUAACACCGGCAGCUCGAGUGGUAGCUGUUUUUAUUGGGCCUAAAGCGUUCGUAGCCGGUUUGAUAAGUCUUUGGUGAAAGCUUGUAGCUUAACUAUAAGAAUUGCUGGAGAUACUAUCAGACUUGAAGUCGGGAGAGGUUAGAGGUACUACCGGGGUAGGGGUGAAAUCCUAUAAUCCUGGGAGGACCACCUGUGGCGAAGGCGUCUAACUGGAACGAUCUUGACGGUGAGUAACGAAAGCCAGGGGCGCGAACCGGAUUAGAUACCCGGGUAUCCUGGCCGUAAACGAUGUGGACUUGGUGUUGGAAUGGCUUUGGGUUGUUCCGGUGCCGAAGGGAAGCUGUUAAGUCCACCGCCUGGGAGUACGGUCGCAAGAUUGAAACUUAAAGGAAUU
This 519-nucleotide ribosomal RNA is filed under the name uncultured bacterium. RNAcentral's name for it is "bacterial SSU rRNA". It matches the Rfam family "Archaeal small subunit ribosomal RNA", at positions 345 to 866 of the family's 1478-position model. The record is from RNAcentral.